AUGAGGAGAAACACACUAUUUCAGAUUAAGGUCAACCCUUGCCCUCACAAUUGUCCAAGUGUUAAUAGAUCUCAGAGAUUGAGGGCUGCAAAGAGAAGAUGGAUAACAAAUGCUUGUAUGCAGUGGACUAGAAAUAAUCCAGGCAUGGGCCCAAAGGAUAUUCAGCAGAGGUUGACUGAGAAGUAUGGAGUGGAUGUGCCAUACAGUGGGUGUUAUUUUGAUAAAGAGCUGGCACUAGACAAGAUAUUUGGGAAGUACAAUGAGAGUUUCCGUCUUAUUUAUUCAUUCAAAGCUGAAGUUGAGAGAACAUCACCAAGCAGUGUAGUUGAAAUUGACAAGCAUACUAACACAGUGAGAGGAAAGAAAAUAUACAAGGAGUGUUUCAGAAGAGUUUGUGUGUGUUUCAAGGCAUGUCAGAAAGGUUUCUUGGAGGGGUGCAGGCCUUAUCUUGUUGUGGAUGCAAUUGCACUGAAUGGUAGGUAUAGGGGUCAGCUUGUUUCUUCUUGUGCCCUUGAUGCUCACAACUGGUUAUUCCCUAUUGCCUAUGGUGUCAUAGAAGCAGAGUCAACUGAGAGCUAG
RNAcentral lists this ribosomal RNA (579 nucleotides) under Triticum aestivum (bread wheat). RNAcentral describes it as "partial small subunit ribosomal RNA". The record is from RNAcentral. Lineage: Eukaryota; Viridiplantae; Streptophyta; Magnoliopsida; Poales; Poaceae.